CAAUAGCGUAUAUUAAAGCUGUUGCAGUUAAAAAGCUCGUAGUUGGAUCUCGGGCGCGGGCCUGCGGUCCUGGCUCGUGUCAGGUACUGCUCGUCCCGGCCUACCUUCUGGUCGUCCCUUGGUGCCCUUGAUCGGGUGUCUCGGGUGGCCGGAACGUUUACUUUGAAAAAUUAGAGUGUUCAAAGCAGGCCCCGGUGCCUGAAUAAUGGUGCAUGGAAUAAUAGAAGAGGACCUCGGUUCUAUUCUGUUGGUCUUCGGAUCGCGAGGUAAUGAUUGAGAGGGACUGCCGGGGGCGAUUCGUAUUACGGUGGUUAGAGGUGAAAUUACUUGGAUCGCCGUAAGACGAACUACUGCGAAAGACAUUUGUCCAAGAAAUGUUUUUCUAUUAAUUCAAGAACGAAAGUAC
RNAcentral lists this ribosomal RNA (406 nucleotides) under uncultured eukaryote. RNAcentral describes it as "SSU rRNA". It matches the Rfam family "Eukaryotic small subunit ribosomal RNA", at positions 592 to 992 of the family's 1831-position model. The record is from RNAcentral.